This 525-nucleotide long non-coding RNA is filed under the name Marmota monax (woodchuck). Lineage: Eukaryota; Metazoa; Chordata; Mammalia; Rodentia; Sciuridae. The record is from RNAcentral.
AUUUGACUCUCCAUUAGGUGUGUAGUAAUAUAGCAUUUGAAUUUGCAUUUCCCUAAUAACAUGAUGUGGAGCAUAUUUUCACAUGCUUAUUUUCCAUCUGUAUAACUUUGGUGAACUGUUGGUUUCUACUCUGUAUUGUUGAUUUAUGACCUCAUAAUAAGGAAGGAUUUCAUAGAGAUAUUGUUAUCUAUUUUCUUCUAAAUAUCUCAUUUGUAGGUUUGCUUUUCUUGAUCUAUAACCAAAUAGAUUUUGAGUAUGAUCUGAGAUAAGGAUUAUAUUUCACUUUUUUCCCACAAUUAUAAUAAGGUAAUGCUGGAAAAAAGUGAAAUACUUUUUACCCAUUGAUUUGCAAAACCACUCUGUCAUCCAUCAGACAUGCAUACACGUCUAAUUCUGGGCUAUCUUUUGUGCCAUCAGUUUUCUGUCCAUCAGUACACCACAACCACAUGGUCUGAAUCACUGUAACUUUUUAUACAAUGUGACAUUUGGGAGAGCUGUCCACUUGUCUUGUCCUUAAAAGAAGUC